Non-coding RNA from Vicia faba (fava bean), 351 nucleotides. Lineage: Eukaryota; Viridiplantae; Streptophyta; Magnoliopsida; Fabales; Fabaceae. The record is from the annotation of a GenBank genome assembly.
UCCAUACAGAAUUUGCUUCCAUGGCAAGUCAACCACUUCAUAGUCCUAAAUCUUACCUUUUUAAUAACAUUUGUAUCAUACUAUUAUUUAAACGUAAAAAUAGAGACAACAAUAUACAUGAAGAUACUCUAUAAUUUAUAUGCAGCUUCUAAUACCAAGUCACCAAAAGAAAAGGAAAAUCUCAUAAUGGUUAUCAGAAUACCUCUGCUUUUGUUACAAUUUGUGUUUGAAAGAAAGAACCUAAACAUGAGUAUUAGUAUUCUAAAAACUUGCAGUUUGAGCCGAAGUGCUUCGCUAUUUGAAGAUACCUGGUAUUCACUAUUCACACAAGAAAAUGAUACAACAAAGUAA